AGAAAUUGCCUGAAGAUGAGCUCGCGUCUGAUUAGCUAGUUGGUGAGGUAAAAGCUUACCAAGGCAACGAUCAGUAGCUGGUCUGAGAGGAUGAGCAGCCACACUGGGACUGAGACACGGCCCAGACUCCUACGGGAGGCAGCAGUGGGGAAUUUUCCGCAAUGGGCGAAAGCCUGACGGAGCAAGACCGCGUGGGGGAGGAAGGCUCUAGGGUUGUAAACCCCUUUUCUUUGGGAAGAACAAAAUGACGGUACCAAAGGAAUCAGCCUCGGCUAACUCCGUGCCAGCAGCCGCGGUAAUACGGAGGAGGCAAGCGUUAUCCGGAAUGAUUGGGCGUAAAGCGUCCGCAGGUGGCCAUGUAAGUCUGCUGUCAAAACCCAGGGCUCAACUCUGGUCAGGCAGUGGAAACUACAAAGCUAGAGUCUGGUAGGGGCAAAGGGAAUUCCCGGCGUAGCGGUGAAAUGCGUAGAUUUCGGGAAGAACAUCGGUGGCGAAAGCGCUUUGCUAGACCAGAACUGACACUCAGGGACGAAAGCUAGGGGAGCGAAUGGGAUUAGAU
This 559-nucleotide ribosomal RNA is filed under the name Okeania sp. TP4S001. RNAcentral's name for it is "bacterial SSU rRNA". It matches the Rfam family "Bacterial small subunit ribosomal RNA", at positions 210 to 783 of the family's 1533-position model. The record is from RNAcentral. RNAcentral also lists the same sequence under 1 other name. Lineage: Bacteria; Bacillati; Cyanobacteriota; Cyanophyceae; Oscillatoriales; Microcoleaceae.